AAUCCAAAACACUUAACGAGGAUCAAUUGGAGGGCAAGUCUGGUGCCAGCAGCCGCGGUAAUUCCAGCUCCAAUAGCGUAUACUAAAGUUGUUGCAGUUAAAAAGCUCGUAGUUGAACCUCGGGCGGUCGUGCGGCGGGUGGGCUUCACGGCUCAUACUCGUCCGUCGGCCGCCCUCCCGCGCGGAGCAACCGGGGUUCCCUUAGCUGGGCGUCCCGGGGACCCGCGUCGUUUACUUUGAGAAAAUUAGAGUGUUCAAAGCAGGCGUUCGCUUGAAUACAUUAGCAUGGAAUAAUGGAAUAGGGCUCCGGUUCUAUUUUGUUGGUUUUCGGACUUUUUGCCGAAGCAAUGAUUAAUAGGGAUAGUUGGGGGCGUCAAUAUUUGAUUGUCAGAGGUGAAAUUCUUGGAUUUAUGAAAGAUUAACUUCUGCGAAAGCAUUCGCCAAGGAUGUUUUCAUUAAUCAAGAACGAAAGUUAGGGGAUCGAAGACGAUCAGAUACCGUCGUAGUCUUAACCAUAAACGAUGCCGACUCGGGAUCGGUGGUCGUUACAAUUGAUGACGCCAUCGGCACCGUAUGAGAAAUCAAAGUUUUUGGGUUCCGGGGGGAGUAUGGUCGCAAGGCUGAAACCUAAAGGAAUUGACGGAAGGGCACCACCAGGAGUGGAGCCUGCGGCUUAAUUUGACCCAACACGGGGAAACUCACCAGGUCAGGACAUAGGAAGGAUUGACAGAUUGAUAGCUUUUUCUUGAUUCUAUGGGUGGUGGUGCAUGGCCGUUCUUAGUUGGUGGAGCGAUUUGUCUGGUUAAUUCCGAUAACGAACGAGACCUUAACCUGCUAAAUAGGACCGCGAGCCCUCGCGCUCGUGCGUCGCUUCUUAGAGGGACCCUCGGUAUCUAGCCGGAGGAAGUUUGAGGCAAUAACAGGUCUGUGAUGCCCUUAGAUGUCCUGGGCUGCACGCGCGCUACACUGGCGGAGGCAUCGAGUCUACAACCUACCCCGACAGGGGCGGGUAAUCUUCGAAACUCCGCCGUGCUGGGGAUAGAUCAUUGCAAUUAUUGGUCUUCAACGAGGAAUUCCUAGUAAGCGCGGUUCAUCAGAUCGCGCUGAUUACGUCCCUGCCCUUUGUACACACCGCCCGUCGCUACUACCGAUUGAAUGGCUUAGUGAAGUCUUCGGACGUGCGCCGGUGGCGGGCAACCGCCGCCGCGCGUCUGCAGAAGUUGCCUAAACUUGGUCAUUUAGAGGAAGUAAAAGUCGUAACAAGGU
This 1266-nucleotide ribosomal RNA is filed under the name metagenome. RNAcentral describes it as "SSU rRNA". It matches the Rfam family "Eukaryotic small subunit ribosomal RNA", at positions 522 to 1800 of the family's 1831-position model. The record is from RNAcentral.